Molecule: ribosomal RNA, 119 nt
Filed under: Octopus vulgaris (common octopus)
Lineage: Eukaryota; Metazoa; Mollusca; Cephalopoda; Octopoda; Octopodidae
Also listed under: 1 other name
Source: RNAcentral
AUAUACGGCCAUAUCACGUUGAAAGCACCGGUUCUCGUCCGAUCACCGAAGUUAAGCAACAUCGAGCCUAGUUAGUACUUAGAUGGGUAACCGCUUGGGAAACCUAGGUGCUGUAGGCA